Molecule: long non-coding RNA, 468 nt
Organism: Arabidopsis thaliana (thale cress)
Lineage: Eukaryota; Viridiplantae; Streptophyta; Magnoliopsida; Brassicales; Brassicaceae
Product: other RNA
Exons: 1
Source: RefSeq
UCCAAAAGAUCAUCAAAUUCACCUGUGUUGGAAGAAGUCUUGAUAUUGUUAGAUGCGUAAAAGGAGAAUCCCAACCUACAGCAAAUGCAGUUUUUCAUUUAGCCGUAGAAGUUGAUUUGCAGAAACAAUGAAACUUUGUGAAUAUGUUGUACAUAAGACAUAAUUUAGACCCAAUUUUAAGCAGGAAAGUGAACAGCUGACUCGAUCUUUUUGUCUGCCCAUCACACUCUCAACGGUUACACCCGCAUUUUUUUCCGGGUAUUCACUCUUAGAUAUUAUAAACAAAAUCUUACUACUAUACAGUCUAACUAUUAUCUAUAUAUUCUUAUCAAAAUCCUACUAUACACCACACUCUAUACUGUUAUAACACAAGAAAAUAACUAACUACAGCGACACACUGCAACUUCUACUCUUCGAUAUUCUAAACAAAACCCUACUACUAAAAUAUCUAUUUCUCACCAUCAGGUA